GACGAACGCUGGCGGCGUGCCUAAUACAUGCAAGUAGAACGCUGAAGCUUGGUGCUUGCACCGAGCGGAUGAGUUGCGAACGGGUGAGUAACGCGUAGGUAACCUGCCUGGUAGCGGGGGAUAACUAUUGGAAACGAUAGCUAAUACCGCAUAAGAGUAGAUGUUGCAUGACAUUUGCUUAAAAGGUGCAAUUGCAUCACUACCAGAUGGACCUGCGUUGUAUUAGCUAGUUGGUGAGGUAACGGCUCACCAAGGCAACGAUACAUAGCCGACCUGAGAGGGUGAUCGGCCGCACUGGGACGGGGACACGCCCCAGACUCCUACGGAAGGCAGCAGUAGGGAUUCUUGAGCAAGGGACGGAGGUCGGACCGAGCAACGCGGCGUGAGUGAAGAAGGUUUUCGGGUCGUAAAGCUCUGUUGUAAGGGAAGAACGAGUGUGAGAGUGGAAAGUUCACACUGUGACGGUAUCUUACCAAAAAGGGCCGGCUAACUACGUG
RNAcentral lists this ribosomal RNA (497 nucleotides) under uncultured bacterium. RNAcentral's name for it is "partial 16S ribosomal RNA". It matches the Rfam family "Bacterial small subunit ribosomal RNA", at positions 28 to 507 of the family's 1533-position model. The record is from RNAcentral.